Non-coding RNA from Candidatus Daviesbacteria bacterium, 108 nucleotides. NCBI's taxonomy places the organism in Bacteria, Candidatus Daviesiibacteriota. The record is from Rfam.
UAGGUUAAAAUAACUAAGCUUAAGACAGUAGGCGUAAACUUAAGUCCUACCGAGGCGAAAAUUAACUGAAUGUUAAACGCCUCAAGAAAGGCGUUUUUUAAUGGCUAA